Molecule: small nuclear RNA, 158 nt
Filed under: Danaus plexippus plexippus
Lineage: Eukaryota; Metazoa; Arthropoda; Insecta; Lepidoptera; Nymphalidae
Description: U1 spliceosomal RNA
Rfam family: U1 spliceosomal RNA
About the family: U1 is a small nuclear RNA (snRNA) component of the spliceosome (involved in pre-mRNA splicing).
Source: RNAcentral
GUACUUACCUGACGUAAGGGACACCGUAACCACAAAGACGGUUACACUAAAGCGAGAAUCCUUGACUGAAUAACGACAAGGUUAACCUCUGUAAUUAUCCCUAAUGUGGAUAACCCGGGAGCGUAAUAUUUGAUAUAGAAUAUUGCGUACACGCCGCC